GGCGACUUGGCCGAGAGGCUAGGCAGAGGACUGCAAAUCCUUCUACGGCGGUUCGAAUCCGUCAGUCGCCU
RNAcentral lists this transfer RNA (71 nucleotides) under Pseudomonadota bacterium. RNAcentral describes it as "Proteobacteria bacterium (gut metagenome) tRNA-Cys". It matches the Rfam family "tRNA". Rfam says of the family: Transfer RNA (tRNA) molecules are approximately 80 nucleotides in length. Their secondary structure includes four short double-helical elements and three loops (D, anti-codon, and T loops). Further hydrogen bonds mediate the characteristic L-shaped molecular structure. tRNAs have two regions of fundamental functional importance: the anti-codon, which is responsible for specific mRNA codon recognition, and the 3' end, to which the tRNAs corresponding amino acid is attached (by aminoacyl-tRNA synthetases). tRNAs cope with the degeneracy of the genetic code in two manners: having more than one tRNA (with a specific anti-codon) for a particular amino acid; and 'wobble' base-pairing, i.e. permitting non-standard base-pairing at the 3rd anti-codon position. The record is from RNAcentral. Lineage: Bacteria; Pseudomonadati; Pseudomonadota.